This 879-nucleotide long non-coding RNA is filed under the name Mus musculus (house mouse). RNAcentral's name for it is "long non-coding RNA chr16:76770619-76771498". Lineage: Eukaryota; Metazoa; Chordata; Mammalia; Rodentia; Muridae. The record is from RNAcentral.
UGCUUCCUAUUGGAGUUGGUGGUUUUAUUUCCUGAUGCAUUUUAUACUUUUCUUGUUCUUCCGAGGUUAGGCUUGCUGAGACUUCUGUGGGGCUAUUCUGAGUCCUAGACUGAGAGAGUACUUCUCCAGCGAAUACCACCCACCAGCUGGCACAACCAAUCAGCUGGCAAAAUAAAUUCAGAGUAUAGACCCAAAUCAGGGUCAAUAUGUGUUCGAAAAUCUCUUUGGAGAAAGAGCUUUUGACUUGUGAGUUUGUUUUGUGUUCUGUUUUGUGUUUUUUCCAAAUCAAGGUAGAUUUUCUAUACUAGGAAACGAACCACUUAAGAAUACACUCAGUGGAAUUUUGUAAAUCAGCCUUACAGAAGGGUCACCACCAUCUGAAUACACUUCCAGUAUGCUUUCUUAACUGCAAAUGGAAGCCCUUUGCAGAGUAGCAAGCAGUUUCUUCCCACUAUCUGCUCUUCUAGUCCCAGUCAACGACUAAAGUGCCUUCUACACCUAUAGAGUUGCCUGUUCUGGGUGUGGCGUAUAAAUGGAAUCAUACAGCAUUUGCUGUUACAAUCUAAUUUCUGCUUCCAGGUGGGGUAGUAGAGGUCAAACCCUUAUUCAUGUGAGGCAAGUGAUAGACACUGAGCUAGAUUGUCACCUUUGUAACUACUGGGAAGAAGGCUGCCUUAAACAUUCCAGCACAAGUAUUUGAUAGAACCCAUAGAUGGCUUCGGGUAUCAAUGUCAUCUUCCCAACAGUGUCUUCUCAUUCAGGAACAAAGUAGGUUUCUCUGAGGGUUUAGGUUUUAUAUUGGCAUUUUUGUAAUGCAAUGUUUGUUGUCUCUUUGCUUAAAUGUAUUCCUAAGUAUUUUGUUCUUUUUAAUGCUCCGUA